RNAcentral lists this long non-coding RNA (1970 nucleotides) under Canis lupus familiaris (dog). RNAcentral describes it as "lncRNA (ENSCAFG00845007872.1)". Lineage: Eukaryota; Metazoa; Chordata; Mammalia; Carnivora; Canidae. The record is from RNAcentral.
UGUUUUAAGCCUUUUAAUCUUUUCAACUGCGCUGCCCAAAUUCUAGUGUCUGAAAUGGUGCCCUGAACAAAACGUAAAGGGAGGAGCAUGGCUGGUCUGUGGUAAUCUUACUCAGGGCCUGGAGUUCUGUGGCACAUCCCCACUGGGGAUGUAUUUGUAGGUUUGACUGAGGAACACUUGGGUAGAUACUCCUCCUAAGGGACAGAACUUGGUCAGUUGACAAUGGAUCAUGACAGAGAGCUGCUUUAGAUUCUUUGAAUGCCCUCUCCAAGGACUCAUGAAAGAGCUCUGAGAAAGAAGACCAAACUAAAAGGAGUGCUUCAAGUUUCUGUUCACACCCACAGCCAACUUCUGCAUUAUAGCUCAAGCGUAAUCAUGUGCUGUUCAAGAUUGGAUAAGGCCCUGUUUUCCACUUCCGUGAAAGGACUGCUGGACCAACAGGAAAGAGAAUGCAGAGAGGCCCCGGCAGGGAACAGAGGCAGCUAUAGAAGACAUUCUUUGGUGGACUUCAAGAAAUAGCAUGGGUGUCUCAGGCCAGACAGGCAGGAAAGCUGUGGCUGGUGUCACACCACAGUCAAAGGAUUGUGCUAGAAGGCUCCCAUUUUGUUUCAUAUCCUAGGUUAUUCUGUUUUCAAGCUGAUGUGAGAAACUUCCUGUGUUAUUUUGAAUAAUCGAAUAGAGGCUAAAAUUCCUUGAGGAGCUAGAUAAAUACCAUUCAGCUACUGUUAUUGCAACAUUCAUUUUGGUUCUGGACUGGUAUGGAUGGAUGAUAAACCAUCUUUAUGAAGAAAAUCUUUCUCAAUAAUUAUAGCAGUGGGCCUUGGUAUAAAUCUUUCCCAUUACAAAGUACUUUUGCAUUCACUGGGUAUUGGAAAAGUGGACUGGGCCAUUCUCAUUGUAUGCUUUCUUCCAGGGACGUAAUUCCAUCAAAGGGUGGAGAUGUUGUCAGGGGAAUGUCUGCAUGGGACAGAGGCUUUGAAUCUACCAUCCGGUGAUUUAUUUUCAGGGAUUCUGAGGAAGCAAGGGACUUUGUCUGGUUAUCUAAGUUUAAGUUGACUUUAGCUCUGGGGAUGCUAUAGCUAGCCCUCAUAAAUUGUUUCUUCUUGCUAUUUGCUUUCUUAACACUGCAAGUUCCCUUCAUGGGACUCUGUUCUGUAGCAUUCACUCUGAGGUGGCUCUUCUCACUGCCUACUACUUACUGGUGCUGUGUGAUAGGUGCUCAGUCCAAGUUCCUGAUGGACUGGCUGAUGGAACAGCAAAACCCUCUCAAGGACAGCACUGCAGAAGGCUUUGUAUCCAUUAGGUCUUUCUUAGAGGUUGGGGAGACAAAGUAGUUCUUCGUGGUCCAUUUUCCCCUCUUUGCCACACCACUUUAUUGUAGCAAGUGUAGGAACAUAAAACUUACACCUACAUUCUUCUUAACAUUUCUUAGCACUAGCACAUUAACAUGGAGACAAGGAGAAAUGAAGUUUCCCAGAGAGAAUGUUCAUAUUGAUCAUAAAAAAGAGCUUAAAAACAUAAAAAAUAAAAUGCCAACUUAAUGAUCAUGAUGUCUUAUAUUUGUUCAUCAUUUUGCACUUUAAAAAGCACUUCAAUAUAUAUUACUUGGGAGGCUGAAAAGAGUGAUUCAUUAUGUAGUGAAGUGCCACACUUUUCAAUGUUCUCAUAAAAAAAAAAAUAAUUCUUAAUGUAUCCACGAUUGAAGAUCAUGUAGGGAUAAAGAAAGAUGUAUCUUUUCAGCCCAGAAACUCUCACUUGAUUCAGGGUUCCCCCCGCCAUGGGAAUAACUCAGUUGUGUCUUUUGUUGUUAGACUAAAUCCUAAAUCCUAAUACUAAGUACUAAAGUAUUUUAGUCAAUGUCUACCUUUCUUUUUCUUCACAGAAUAACAUCUUAUUUUCUUUCUUUCUUUCUUUCUUUCUUUCUUUCUUUCUUUUUUCUUUCUUUCUUUUUCUUUCUUUCUUUCUUUCUU